GUGGGUAACCUACCCUGUACACACGGAUAACAUACCGAAAGGUAUGCUAAUACGGGAUAAUAUAUUUGAGAGGCAUCUCUUAAAUAUCAAAGGUGAGCCAGUACAGGAUGGACCCGCGUCUGAUUAGUUAGUUGGUAAGGUAACGGCUUACCAAGGCGACGAUCAGUAGCCGACCUGAGAGGGUGAUCGGCCACAUUGGAACUGAGACACGGUCCAAACUCCUACG
Molecule: ribosomal RNA, 226 nt
Filed under: Clostridioides difficile
Lineage: Bacteria; Bacillati; Bacillota; Clostridia; Peptostreptococcales; Peptostreptococcaceae
Description: partial 16S ribosomal RNA
Rfam family: Bacterial small subunit ribosomal RNA
Source: RNAcentral